RNAcentral lists this ribosomal RNA (435 nucleotides) under uncultured bacterium. Its description in RNAcentral is "bacterial SSU rRNA". It matches the Rfam family "Bacterial small subunit ribosomal RNA", at positions 958 to 1392 of the family's 1533-position model. The record is from RNAcentral.
AACGCGAAGAACCUUACCAAGUCUUGACAUCCCCCUGACCGGAACUUAACGGUUCCUUUCCUACGGGACAGGGGAGACAGGUGGUGCAUGGUUGUCGUCAGCUCGUGUCGUGAGAUGUUGGGUUAAGUCCCGCAACGAGCGCAACCCUUAUUCUUAGUAGCCAGCAGGUAAAGCUGGGCACUCUAGGGAGACUGCCAGGGAUAACCUGGAGGAAGGUGGGGAUGACGUCAAAUCAUCAUGCCCCUUAUGAUUUGGGCUACACACGUGCUACAAUGGCGUAAACAAAGAGAAGCAAGACCGCGAGGUGGAGCAAAUCUCAAAAAUAACGUCUCAGUUCGGACUGCAGGCUGCAACUCGCCUGCAUGAAGCUGGAAUCGCUAGUAAUCGCGAAUCAGAAUGUCGCGGUGAAUACGUUCCCGGGUCUUGUACACACCG